UGGGUUAGAAAUUAGAAAACCUGGGGUCUCUUUAGAAAAUUUGCAAGGCCGAAGGGGUAUGGGCAUUUCCUGGCCGUUGGAUUCAAGAUCCACGGCCGAGAAGAUGGAAGGGAAGAGAGGGGGCGGGGCUGGCGGCCGAAACAGUAUUGGCUGCGGCGGCGCGCCAUUGUUGGCGGCGCUGAGCUCGCCGGAGUUGGUCGCCUGGCCGCUACAGUGCACCAAAACAAUAUCCGAUUGCUCCGGGAGAGAGAGGAGGGCGAGGGG
RNAcentral lists this long non-coding RNA (264 nucleotides) under Sorghum bicolor (sorghum). Its description in RNAcentral is "long non-coding RNA (SBIC_LNC003576)". Lineage: Eukaryota; Viridiplantae; Streptophyta; Magnoliopsida; Poales; Poaceae. The record is from RNAcentral.